UGCGCUUUUUGCGUGCGCCCCGUGUGUGCCCAAUCUCCGCGACGCCCUGGGUCUCCGAGGAUGUGCUGUGGCUGCCUCCGAAACUGGAUUACCCCGUCAUGGUAUCCCUGUUUUCUUUACCAGUAACGCCUGUUGGGUUUUGCAUUCAAAGUAUAUCUAUUUUUGGUAACAGUUUCUCCGAAACCGCUAAAACGACAACAAGAGACUGUCUACAAGGAUAAUUGCUCUCAAGUUUUGAUUUGCAGGGUGGAAUAGAUCGGUUCGGCGGAUGGCUCUAAAGUUUACUGAGACAAACAAAUUUACAGCUUCACGACGCGAGCGCUGGGGCAGAACUAAAUUUAUUCCAAAACAUGCAAAAUCACACACGUGUAGACACUUUACAAAUAAGGUCAUGACAUCUGUAUAAGGAAAUUAACUAAAGGCUACCCAAAA
Nematostella vectensis (starlet sea anemone) is the source of this 432-nucleotide long non-coding RNA. RefSeq lists it as uncharacterized. The transcript has 2 exons. The record is from RefSeq and is a predicted model, not a curated record. Lineage: Eukaryota; Metazoa; Cnidaria; Anthozoa; Actiniaria; Edwardsiidae.